GAUUAAGUUAUUAAGGGCGCACGGUGGAUGCCUUGGCACUAGAAGCCGAUGAAGGACGUUACUAACGACGAUAUGCUUUGGGGAGCUGUAAGUAAGCUUUGAUCCAGAGAUUUCCGAAUGGGGAAACCCAGCAUGAGUUAUGUCAUGUUAUCGAUAUGUGAAUACAUAGCAUAUCAGAAGGCACACCCGGAGAACUGAAACAUCUUAGUACCCGGAGGAAGAGAAAGAAAAUUCGAUUCCCUUAGUAGCGGCGAGCGAAACGGGAAGAGCCCAAACCAACAAGCUUGCUUGUUGGGGUUGUAGGACACUCUAUACGGAGUUACAAAGGACGACAUUAGACGAAUCAUCUGGAAAGAUGAAUCAAAGAAGGUAAUAAUCCUGUAGUCGAAAAUGUUGUCUCUCUUGAGUGGAUCCUGAGUACGACGGAGCACGUGAAAUUCCGUCGGAAUCUGGGAGGACCAUCUCCUAAGGCUAAAUACUCUCUAGUGACCGAUAGUGAACCAGUACCGUGAGGGAAAGGUGAAAAGCACCCCGGAAGGGGAGUGAAAUAGAACCUGAAACCGUGUGCUUACAAGUAGUCAGAGCCCGUUAAUGGGUGAUGGCGUGCCUUUUGUAGAAUGAACCGGCGAGUUACGAUUUGAUGCAAGGUUAAGCAGUAAAUGUGGAGCCGUAGCGAAAGCGAGUCUGAAUAGGGCGUUUAGUAUUUGGUCGUAGACCCGAAACCAGGUGAUCUACCCUUGGUCAGGUUGAAGUUCAGGUAACACUGAAUGGAGGACCGAACCGACUUACGUUGAAAAGUGAGCGGAUGAACUGAGGGUAGCGGAGAAAUUCCAAUCGAACCUGGAGAUAGCUGGUUCUCUCCGAAAUAGCUUUAGGGCUAGCCUCAAGUGAUGAUUAUUGGAGGUAGAGCACUGUUUGGACGAGGGGCCCCUCUCGGGUUACCGAAUUCAGACAAACUCCGAAUGCCAAUUAAUUUAACUUGGGAGUCAGAACAUGGGUGAUAAGGUCCAUGUUCGAAAGGGAAACAGCCCAGACCACCAGCUAAGGUCCCAAAAUAUAUGUUAAGUGGAAAAGGAUGUGGCGUUGCCCAGACAACUAGGAUGUUGGCUUAGAAGCAGCCAUCAUUUAAAGAGUGCGUAAUAGCUCACUAGUCGAGUGACACUGCGCCGAAAAUGUACCGGGGCUAAACAUAUUACCGAAGCUGUGGAUUGUCCUUUGGACAAUGGUAGGAGAGCGUUCUAAGGGCGUUGAAGCAUGAUCGUAAGGACAUGUGGAGCGCUUAGAAGUGAGAAUGCCGGUGUGAGUAGCGAAAGACGGGUGAGAAUCCCGUCCACCGAUUGACUAAGGUUUCCAGAGGAAGGCUCGUCCGCUCUGGGUUAGUCGGGUCCUAAGCUGAGGCCGACAGGCGUAGGCGAUGGAUAACAGGUUGAUAUUCCUGUACCACCUAUAAUCGUUUUAAUCGA
RNAcentral lists this ribosomal RNA (1463 nucleotides) under Staphylococcus aureus. Its description in RNAcentral is "partial 23S ribosomal RNA". It matches the Rfam family "Bacterial large subunit ribosomal RNA", at positions 1 to 1464 of the family's 2925-position model. Lineage: Bacteria; Bacillati; Bacillota; Bacilli; Caryophanales; Staphylococcaceae. The record is from RNAcentral.